GCCCGGGUGGCUCAGUCAGUUAAGCAUCCGACUUCAGCUCAGGUCAUGACCUCACGGUUCACGGGUUUGAGUCCCGUGCUGGGCU
This 85-nucleotide transfer RNA is filed under the name Felis catus (domestic cat). It matches the Rfam family "tRNA". From Rfam's summary of the family: Transfer RNA (tRNA) molecules are approximately 80 nucleotides in length. Lineage: Eukaryota; Metazoa; Chordata; Mammalia; Carnivora; Felidae. The record is from Rfam by way of RNAcentral.